GGCGGGGGGGGUGGUUACAAUGAUAGAUGAGGGAAGUGGGCAUCACCAGGAGGGAGGAAAUAAACUUAUAAGGGCAUAAAGGGAAGGAUCAAGGGAUCAGUCACCUUGAGGGACAAGUCAUUGGAGGGAAAACAAGGGGUGCGAAGGUGUUGUUUCCUGAAAUGGGACAAUUUUUUAGCUCAUUCUCAUUAAGGCUGGAAAAAAGACAAGGUAACACUAACAACCGGGUACUUAAGAAAGGCAAAAGAAGUAGCCAAGCUCAGAGGAAGACGGUAUCUAUUUGCACUUCGUGUGUCUGGGAGUUUCUCUCCGUGGACCAGAGAUACUGUGGGAACUGGGGAGCUUUGGAGGAGGACGGUCGGAGCUGCUGCUUGGGGAAGGGAAUUCGCUGCUGCUGCCAGACCCCAGCCCAGAGCUGCUGCUUCUCCUGCCAUGGGGUGAGCCUCUGCUAGUGAGAGCAGCCACUGGACUGGGAGCUCAUUAACACCAACCUCACUACAGAGGGACCUGCCCCGUCUGCUCCUGCCUGGGAUCCUGAGCUCGGCUCUCCCUGCCCUGCUGCGAGCCGGGCUGCCCACGCAGCUUUUUCAGCACGGCUCCGAGCUUUCACUGCACUGUAGCCCCCCACCCCUGAAUGCCGAAACACCCCUGCAAUCCCAGCCUGGUGCUCCCGAGAGUCCCGCCGGGCCCCGGGAUCGGUGCCACGGGGUUUGUGGAGCGAGUCCUCUGCCCCCAUCCCGGCCCGUCUGGGCCGAGCCGCCAUCGCCACAGCGCCCCCUGCAGGCGCGGGGGAGGCACCGCCCCCGCCCGCCCUCGGGAGCAGCAGCGCCCCUGCCGGCCGAGCCCGGAACUGCAGCAGAGGGAAAGCGCCGCGGCCGAGCAGGCCGGGCCCGAGCUCGGGUUCUGUGUGGGGUCAGUGCCGGGGCUGGUGAUGUUUGUGUGCUUUAUUGCACACACUGGUCAUGAACUGCUGUUCCUAUUGUUGUAUC
Molecule: long non-coding RNA, 989 nt
Organism: Zonotrichia leucophrys gambelii
Lineage: Eukaryota; Metazoa; Chordata; Aves; Passeriformes; Passerellidae
Exons: 4
Source: RefSeq, a predicted model, not a curated record